Gallus gallus (chicken) is the source of this 1060-nucleotide long non-coding RNA. Lineage: Eukaryota; Metazoa; Chordata; Aves; Galliformes; Phasianidae. The record is from Ensembl.
ACAACAUCCACCGUAUAUCACAUUAGGGUGAAGAACACGAUGCCUUGCCCACUUAAAAAAUUCACCAUUGCAUUUUUGGGUAUGUUGGAGUUACACAACGAAAUGCAACUGAAAAGAAGUACUGGGCAGAGCCCAAGACGGCACAUCGAGCCAUGAACAAAUUGGUGUUCUCUCUUCUUUGCUGGUACGUAGCAUGAGCCAGGCUGCUGUGCUUGGAUGGAAGCAGCACUCAUCUCAUCUGUUACAUUGCACUAAAGGACAAGCAAAAAACCGAAGGAGAGGGAGGUUACUGGAAGUGUGGGACACAGAAUUACGGAACCUCAGGUGUUGGAAAGGACCUCUGGAGAUCAUCCAGUCUAACCCCCUGCUUCAGCAGGUUCCCUACAGCAGAUCACACAGCUAGGCAUCCAGGUAGUGAAUCAACAACCUUUCUCAAAGAGGAAAAAAGAAAACUAGCAUGUAUGGCUAGAAAGUGGCUAGAUGGUGUCACAGAACUCAAGAAUGAGAAAGUUCUGAGAAUACAACCUCACACUGCACCUCCUGGUGAAGAAUGAGACCAUCUUGUUUGAAGAAUGUGGGUCAGGCAAAUUGAUAUUCUACACUUUCUUCUGUGAUAAGGACCUCACAGAGAAGCAGUGACACAGUCCAUGUGCAGUGUCUUUAAUGAUUCACCAUGUGCUUGUGUAGGGACAUCAGAAAACUAAAAGAAUUGUUAUCAGGACUAGUUACUUCUUGAUUUAUCUGGAUAUAUCUACACUUAUAUUGAAAAAGGUUUUGCAUGCAACUAUUACAAUGAAAAAAAAUAAUUUCCUAAUUCAUACGUUAUUUUUCUUUCCAAGAUUGCCAUAAUAUCACGCAUACAUGUGUAUUUCAUCUAUAAAUGUGCUGAAAGAGAUUCCCAACUCUUCUAACAGUUAGACCACUACAUUAGAUUUCAUUGUCUGUGAUACUGUCAGAAACUACUUGAGACAUACAGUAAGACAAUACAAAAUCUUUCAGUCUUCAAUAGUUUCUUCAUGUUUAUUCCUUCUACUCUCCCGUUAGUCAGUCUUUGGGCACA